GCCUCCGUAGUGAAACGGAUAUCACCACAGGCUUCGAACCUGUUAUUGGGGGUUCAAAUCCCUCCGGAGGUA
Molecule: transfer RNA, 72 nt
Filed under: Minisyncoccota bacterium
Lineage: Bacteria; Bacillati; Minisyncoccota
Description: tRNA-Arg
Rfam family: tRNA
About the family: Transfer RNA (tRNA) molecules are approximately 80 nucleotides in length. Their secondary structure includes four short double-helical elements and three loops (D, anti-codon, and T loops).
Source: RNAcentral